Molecule: ribosomal RNA, 361 nt
Filed under: uncultured bacterium
Lineage: Bacteria
Description: bacterial SSU rRNA
Rfam family: Bacterial small subunit ribosomal RNA
Source: RNAcentral
AGCGAACGCUGGCGGCAUGCUUAACACAUGCAAGUCGCACGGGUGGGGCUUUUGGGUCCUGCGAGUGGCGGACGGGUGAGUAACGCGUAGGUAUUUAUCCUUAGGGUGGGGGAGUAACCGUAGGGAACGUGCGGCUAAUACCGCAUGAAGAUUGCGAUCCAAAGGCGUGGGGGCGGACCUUGGCUGCCUGAGGAGGAGCCUGCGUCCGAUUAGCUAGUUGGUGGGGUAAGAGCCACCAAGGCAACGAUCGGUAGCUGGUCUGAGAGGAUGAUCAGCCACACUGGGACUGAGACACGGGCCCAGACUCCUACGGGAGGCAGCAGGUGGGGAAUAUUGGACAAUGGGCGCAAGCCUGAUCCAG